GCAAACUUGGUCAUUUAGAGGAAGUAAAAGUCGUAACAAGGUUUCCGUAGGUGAACCUGCGGAAGGAUCAUUAAUGAAGCAUGUCGUGAAGGGUUGUUGCUGGGUUCCUUCCCAAUCACAGGGAAAAAAAGGGGACCAUGUGCACACCUGGAACGUUCAUCCUAUAUCUUAUCCCCUGUGCACACCCUGUGGGGCCUAAAUGCUUUGGGCCCCACUUCUUUUUCAUUCACUCUUGUACCUGUCACUUUGGAAUGUCUACCAUUAUUGGAAAUAAAACAACUUUCAGCAACGGAUCUCUUGGCUCUCGCAUCGAUGAAGAACGCAGC
This 326-nucleotide unclassified non-coding RNA is filed under the name uncultured fungus. RNAcentral describes it as "partial contains small subunit ribosomal RNA, internal transcribed spacer 1, and 5.8S ribosomal RNA". The stretch from base 1 to 73 matches the Rfam family "Eukaryotic small subunit ribosomal RNA", at positions 1759 to 1831 of the family's 1831-position model. Lineage: Eukaryota; Fungi. The record is from RNAcentral.